This 759-nucleotide ribosomal RNA is filed under the name uncultured bacterium. RNAcentral describes it as "bacterial SSU rRNA". It matches the Rfam family "Bacterial small subunit ribosomal RNA", at positions 28 to 776 of the family's 1533-position model. The record is from RNAcentral.
AUUGAACGCUGGCGGCAGGCUUAACACAUGCAAGUCGAACGGUAACAGGGAGAAACUUGUUUCUCUGCUGACGAGUGGCGGACGGGUGAGUAAUGCUUGGGAAUCUGCCUUAUGGAGGGGGAUAACCACUGGAAACGGUGGCUAAUACCGCGUAAUAUCUUCGGAUUAAAGUGUGGGACUUUCGAGCCACACGCCAUAAGAUGAGCCCAAGUGAGAUUAGGUUGUUGGUGAGGUAAUGGCUCACCAAGCUUACGAUCUCUAGCUGGUUUGAGAGGAUGACCAGCCACACUGGGACUGAGACACGGCCCAGACUCCUACGGAAGGCAGCAGUGGGGAAUAUUGCACAAUGGGCGCAAGCCUGAUGCAGCCAUGCCGCGUGAAUGAAGAAGGCCUUAGGGUUGUAAAGUUCUUUCAUUAGUGAGAAAGCGGUUAUAUCUAAUAGGUGUAACCAUUGAUGUUAGCUAAAGAAGAAGCACCGGCUAACUCCGUGCCAGCAGCCGCGGUAAUACGGAGGGUGCGAGCGUUAAUCGGAAUGACUGGGCGUAAAGGGCACGCAGGCGGUUAUUUAAGUCAGAUGUGAAAGCCCCGAGCUUAACUUGGGAAUUGCAUUUGAUACUGGGUAACUAGAGUCCUCUAGGGAGGGGUAGAAUUCCAUGUGUAGCGGUGAAAUGCGUAGAGAUGUGGAGGAAUACCGAAGGCGAAGGCAGCCCCUUGGAGAGAGACUGACGCUCAUGUGCGAAAGCGUGGGUAGCAAACAGG